RNAcentral lists this ribosomal RNA (245 nucleotides) under uncultured bacterium. RNAcentral's name for it is "partial 16S ribosomal RNA". It matches the Rfam family "Bacterial small subunit ribosomal RNA", at positions 524 to 767 of the family's 1533-position model. The record is from RNAcentral.
AACGUAGGAGGCGAGCGUUAUCCGGAUUCACUGGGCGUAAAGCGCGCGUAGGCGGUUGGUUAAGUCGGACGUUAAAGCCCCUGGCUCAACUGGGGGAGGUCGUUCGAUACUGGUCGGCUUGAGGAUGAGAGGGGAGAGUGGAAUUCCCGGUGUAGCGGUGGAAUGCGUAGAGAUCGGGAGGAACACCAGUGGCGAAGGCGGCUCUCUGGCUCAUUCCUGACGCUGAGAGCGCGACAGCGUGGGGA